ACGUACACUCCUGCGGGAGGCAGCAGUGGGGAAUAUUGCACAAUGGGCGCAAGCCUGAUGCAGCCAUGCCGCGUGUAUGAAGAAGGCCUUCGGGUUGUAAAGUACUUUCAGCGGGGAGGAAGGCGAUAAGGUUAAUAACCUUGUUGAUUGACGUUACCCGCAGAAGAAGCACCGGCUAACUCCGUGCCAGCAGCCGCGGUAAUACGGAGGGUGCAAGCGUUAAUCGGAAUUACUGGGCGUAAAGCGCACGCAGGCGGUCUGUCAAGUCGGAUGUGAAAUCCCCGGGCUCAACCUGGGAACUGCAUUCGAAACUGGCAGGCUAGAGUCUUGUAGAGGGGGGUAGAAUUCCAGGUGUAGCGGUGAAAUGCGUAGAGAUCUGGAGGAAUACCGGUGGCGAAGGCGGCCCCCUGGACAAAGACUGACGCUCAGGUGCGAAAGCGUGGGGAGCAAACAGGAUUAGAAACCCUGGUAGUCCCAUG
Molecule: ribosomal RNA, 479 nt
Filed under: uncultured organism
Description: partial 16S ribosomal RNA
Rfam family: Bacterial small subunit ribosomal RNA
Source: RNAcentral